GGAGAGGACGCAGACAGUCAGGCCUCCGAAGUAACACGGAGAAAUCCUGAGUUUUCCUCACUAGUGAUUACCAGGAUUCACUUUCAUUCCCAGCAAGGGAUAGGGAAAAGGAAAGCCAGGCAAAAUUGACAAAGCUAUGACCACUGUUUUUGUUCAAGAGUGACCUCCUGUCUAUGCAUAUUUGAGAAGCAAGUAAUAUUAAAGCUUAAGUUGGAAAAUCAGCCUGGGUAUUGGGAAUUCCAAUGAAAAACUGUAGCCUGGAGGCAUCUUGCUUAUGUCUACUUAUUUCAAUGCUCCUGAAAAUCUGCCUGUCUUCAGUUACAGUUACGACUGAGACUAUGAGAGCCGAACCCCAAUAGCCGUCUCAUGGAGAUGCCCUGGCCUGCAGAACUACACAGUGAUCGUGUAUCUGCCACUCUGAG
This is a long non-coding RNA of Fukomys damarensis (Damara mole-rat), 422 nucleotides long. RefSeq lists it as uncharacterized. The record is from RefSeq and is a predicted model, not a curated record. The transcript is spliced from 4 exons. NCBI's taxonomy places the organism in Eukaryota, Metazoa, Chordata, Mammalia, Rodentia, Bathyergidae.